RNAcentral lists this ribosomal RNA (505 nucleotides) under uncultured bacterium. Its description in RNAcentral is "bacterial SSU rRNA". It matches the Rfam family "Bacterial small subunit ribosomal RNA", at positions 996 to 1501 of the family's 1533-position model. The record is from RNAcentral.
GUUUUCAGAGAUGAAUUCCUUCAGUUCGGCUGGACCGGUGACAGGUGCUGCAUGGCUGUCGUCAGCUCGUGUCGUGAGAUGUUGGGUUAAGUCCCGCAACGAGCGCAACCCUCGCCAUUAGUUGCCAGCAUUUAGUUGGGCACUCUAAUGGGACUGCCGGUGAUAAGCCGGAGGAAGGUGGGGAUGACGUCAAGUCCUCAUGGCCCUUAUGGGCUGGGCUACACACGUGCUACAAUGGCGGCGACAGAGGGUUGCGAGCUCGCGAGGGCAAGCUAAUCCCCAAAAGCCGUCUCAGUUCGGAUUGUUCUCUGCAACUCGAGAGCAUGAAGGUGGAAUCGCUAGUAAUCGCAGAUCAGCAUGCUGCGGUGAUACGUUCCCGGGCCUUGUACACACCGCCCGUCACACCAUGGGAGUUGGUUCUACCCGAAGCUGGUGCGCUAACCUUUUAGGAGGCAGCCAACCACGGUAGGAUUAGCGACUGGGGUGAAGUCGUAACAAGGUAACC